Molecule: long non-coding RNA, 1714 nt
Organism: Homo sapiens (human)
Lineage: Eukaryota; Metazoa; Chordata; Mammalia; Primates; Hominidae
Gene: SLC1A3-AS1
Product: SLC1A3 antisense RNA 1
Source: Ensembl
AGCCUGUUAUGGGAUGGGCAUCCUACCAGGAACCAAGGAUGCUAAGAUGUCCUCCAAAAUGGAUUGCCUCAUAUCUAGUACCCGCCUGCUGCAGGCUUCUUCAUCUAGUUCCUCUGGGGACACACUGUGCAGCUAAUUCAUCCAGGCAGAUUCACUGGGAAGCUGUUGCUCAUGAGGGUAUUUCUGAGACUUUUUUUUGUGACCUUGCUGUAUGACUGGUAAGACGCGACUUAGUAUUUUCCAUGCCAAGAAUAUCAGAGCCAUGACCCAUGGUAUAGAAUGCUGCAAGCUUAGCCUUCAUUUGUUGCCAUGCUAGAGCAGACUCUGUUUCUCCAGGAAAUUCCUGGUUUUGCUCAUGGGAGACCCUGCAGAUGCUCACUUUGCCACUCGCUGAUCUGAUCUCAAGAGCAUCUGGAUCUGCCUUAACCAGCAUCUCAGGCUCCCUACGCACUGAGUUCUUGACUGGAAACUAGUAAUCUGUAUUUCCCUGGGGCCACACUAAAGGGGGAUGAGGGGCGGAGUUAAGUUGCAAUAACAAGACCAAAGUUGGGUAUCUCUGGCUCACUGGCUGUCUCUGUCUAGACUCUCAGGCUUUUCGACCUCCCCUCUGUGUGCUCCACCCUGCAGUCUUCCUGAUGAUUCCAGAGGCUCCUGCUGUUUCCUUCUCUCCAAUCCCCAGGUUGGCCUCCUGGGCCCUGGCUCCCAGGUUGCUGCUCAGGCUGCCUGGAUACUUCUCUCUCCUGCUAAAUUUCAGUCACAGUGGGCUUUUCUCAGUCUCAACUUUCUAUUUUUAUUUAUUUUGCCCCUGUUGCUGCUGAUUCUUUAUUCUAACUUACAAUAGUAUUGCAUGUGUUCUUGUUGAAAAGCUCUUCAAAUUCUCCAUGGACCAAUACAGGACACAAAUAAGCAAACAAGAAUAUUAAUGUUGAUGUCCCUCUCUCCAGCAAAAGAUUGGUGAUGAGCGUCAUCAAUUUAUUUUAAUACAGCACAUUGAAAGGGCAGGCGUGGUGGUGCAGAUUUCACUCAUUUCACUAUGGCAAUCGAGGGAGGUCUUGGUUGCUGACCAGGAAAGGAAAGCUAUACCCAAUCAGGCACACUUUCCAGAUAUUCCAGAUAGGUAAAUGGUCCAUGAAACCAUAAAACCAGAAAUGAAUCUCAGGGAUGAAGAGUGGAAAAAAAUCAUCACCUGGGUCUUUCCUUUUUGUAAAGAAAAGAAAAUCAAUAGAGCUAACUGCAUUUCCGCAGUUGGAAAAUGUUUUCUGACAUAAAUAAAAAGUAUAACAAUUUUAGGUCAAUUGGAGGCAUUAACAAUCAGAUAAAAUGGUCAUUUUGGAUUAUGCAUCCAGGGUAGAAGUGAUCCUGCUGGAAACUUGUGACACUUGUCUGUCUGAUUGUUGGUCUCUCUUUUUCUUCUUCUCUUUCUCUCCCUCCUCACCUCUUACUGUGCAUUCUUUCCCAUAUCUUUUCCUCCCUUUGCCUACUACUGGGUGGAGUUUCCAUGUGGGCCCCACUGUUGUGCUAAGAAUAGCACUAGCUGCUAUUUAUCAAGGCUUUACCACUUGCCAGGCACUGUGCAGAGCACCCUAGAUACAUUACCUCACUUAUUCUGCCCAACAGCCCUCCAGGAGGAUGGGCAUAUUUGUGUAAUGAACCCGGUCUGACAUGGUGUUUAAUUGCUUUAUUAUGUUCUUUGUCAGCACUCCAAAUAAUAAAG